This 70-nucleotide transfer RNA is filed under the name Nilssonia nigricans. RNAcentral's name for it is "tRNA-Gly". The record is from RNAcentral. Lineage: Eukaryota; Metazoa; Chordata; Testudines; Trionychidae.
ACUUUUCUAAUAUACCCAAGUAUAAAUGACUUCCAAUCAUUCAGUUUCAGUUAAACCCUGAAGAAAAGUA